Molecule: ribosomal RNA, 400 nt
Filed under: uncultured bacterium
Lineage: Bacteria
Description: bacterial SSU rRNA
Rfam family: Bacterial small subunit ribosomal RNA
Source: RNAcentral
GGGGAAUAUUGGACAAUGGGCGCAAGCCUGAUCCAGCCAUGCCGCGUGAGUGACGAAGGUCUUCGGAUUGUAAAGCUCUUUUGCCAGGGACGAUAAUGACGGUACCUGGAGAAUAAGCCCCGGCUAACUUCGUGCCAGCAGCCGCGGUAAUACGAAGGGGGCUAGCGUUGUUCGGAAUUACUGGGCGUAAAGCGCACGUAGGCGGAUUUGUUAGUCAGGGGUGAAAUCCCGGGGCUCAACCUCGGAACUGCCUUUGAUACUGCAAAUCUCGAGUCCGGAAGAGGUGAGUGGAAUUCCUAGUGUAGAGGUGAAAUUCGUAGAUAUUAGGAAGAACACCAGUGGCGAAGGCGGCUCACUGGUCCGGUACUGACGCUGAGGUGCGAAAGCGUGGGGAGCAAAC